CCCUUAGAUGUUCUGGGCCGCACGCGCGCUACACUGACUGGUGCAACAAGUGUCUGACCUUGGCUCGAGAGGCCUGGGCAACCUUUGAACGCCAGUCGUGCUGGGGAUAGAUUCUUGCAAUUAUUAAUCUUCAACGAGGAAUUCCUAGUAAACGCAAGUCAUCAGCUUGCAUUGAUUACGUCCCUGCCCUUUGUACACACCGCCCGUCGCUCCUACCGAUUGGGUGCUCCGGUGAAUUGUUUGGACUGCUGUCAGUCUUUUCGGCUGUCGGCGAGAAGCUCUGUGAACCUUAGCACCUAGAGGAAGGAGAAGUCGUAACA
This 320-nucleotide ribosomal RNA is filed under the name uncultured eukaryote. RNAcentral's name for it is "partial 18S ribosomal RNA". It matches the Rfam family "Eukaryotic small subunit ribosomal RNA", at positions 1470 to 1796 of the family's 1831-position model. The record is from RNAcentral.